Molecule: transfer RNA, 77 nt
Filed under: Fusobacteriaceae bacterium
Lineage: Bacteria; Fusobacteriati; Fusobacteriota; Fusobacteriia; Fusobacteriales; Fusobacteriaceae
Description: tRNA-Arg
Rfam family: tRNA
About the family: Transfer RNA (tRNA) molecules are approximately 80 nucleotides in length. Their secondary structure includes four short double-helical elements and three loops (D, anti-codon, and T loops).
Source: RNAcentral
GUAUCUGUAGCUCAGCUGGAUAGAGCAACGCCCUUCUAAGGCGUGGGGCGGGGGUUCGAAUCCCUUCAGAUACGCCA